AUGCCUAUUGCACAUCCAUUCAUCCAUCCACCAAACCAUCCAUCCGAAUCAAUCAUACAUACAUACAUACAUACAUACAUACAUACAUACAUACAUACUAGAGUACAAGGAAGGAAGGGAUUCUUUCUUUUCUUGGUGGCGGGGAUCAGAUCCAUCCGCGGCGCACAACCUAACCACAUGAGAGGAGAAGGAGAUGGAGGUGGAGGGGGGAUCGAUCCUACCGAGGGAAGCGGGGGCUUAUUACCUUACCGACAAGGAAGGAAGGACGGACGGACGGACGGGAAGAUCUCCGGUGCGCUCCGCUCCGCCGCAGUCGACUCCGGUGGGGAUGGGGGUGGAUUCUUUCUUUUCUUUUCUCUCUCACAUCUCACAUCUCACAGGACAAGAGCAGAGGAGAGAUGGGUGGGGAAGGAAGCCAACCGCCUAGUACGAGGCUGA
This 438-nucleotide ribosomal RNA is filed under the name Triticum aestivum (bread wheat). Its description in RNAcentral is "partial small subunit ribosomal RNA". The record is from RNAcentral. Lineage: Eukaryota; Viridiplantae; Streptophyta; Magnoliopsida; Poales; Poaceae.